CUUUUUUGUGUUUUUUUUUAUUGUCGGUUUUUGUAAAAUGUUGUCGAUUUAUUAGUUUUUAUGAAGAGACUUAAAAUUUGGUUUAUUGAACUGGAUUAUUACCCAGGUAAUCAAAAUUUAUUAAUACGGGAGUAAAGUUUUGUUUAAACCGAAAAAAUAUUGACUGGCUUUAGAUUUUUCUUUGGAAUAUGUAUAUAUGGAAGGCCCUCCUUUUUAGCGAGUUUUGUAGGCACAUGUAUGAUUGUUUAGUUUUUAUUUUUUUUGUAAUAUAUUUUCUUUUGUGUUAAAAAACAGAUAGAUAUUUGGCUUAUGAAUUUGUUUUUAUGCGUUACUAUUUUAAAUUUUUUUUGGAUAUUUUAUUAAUUGUUUUGUUGAAAUUGGAAAAGAAAGUAAUUGUUUUUU
Molecule: ribosomal RNA, 402 nt
Filed under: Cercopithifilaria multicauda
Lineage: Eukaryota; Metazoa; Nematoda; Chromadorea; Rhabditida; Onchocercidae
Description: partial 12S ribosomal RNA
Source: RNAcentral